UGGGGAAUAUUGGACAAUGGGCGCAAGCCUGAUCCAGCCAUGCCGCGUGAGUGACGAAGGCCUUAGGGUUGUAAAGCUCUUUUUGGCGGGGAAGAUAAUGACGGUACCCGCAGAAUAAGCUCCGGCUAACUUCGUGCCAGCAGCCGCGGUAAUACGAAGGGAGCUAGCGUUGUUCGGAAUCACUGGGCGUAAAGCGCACGUAGGUGGGCAGUUAAGUCAGGGGUGAAAGCCCGAGGCUCAACCUCGGAAUUGCCUCUGAUACUGGCUGUCUAGAGUUCGAGAGAGGUGAGUGGAAUUCCUAGUGUAGAGGUGAAAUUCGUAGAUAUUAGGAAGAACACCGGUGGCGAAGGCGGCCCACUGGUCCGGUACUGACGCUGAGACGCGAAAGCGUGGGGAGCAAACAGGAUUAGAUACCCACGUAGUCCCUGAGCGGGCUGGCAAGGCGCAU
Molecule: ribosomal RNA, 448 nt
Filed under: uncultured bacterium
Lineage: Bacteria
Description: bacterial SSU rRNA
Rfam family: Bacterial small subunit ribosomal RNA
Source: RNAcentral